AGGGCUGUGGCUGAGUGAUAAAGCAUCUGCUUGACAUGUAGAAGGUCCCAGGUUCAAUUCCUGGCAUCUCUA
This is a non-coding RNA of Eublepharis macularius, 72 nucleotides long. The record is from the annotation of a RefSeq genome assembly. NCBI's taxonomy places the organism in Eukaryota, Metazoa, Chordata, Lepidosauria, Squamata, Eublepharidae.